RNAcentral lists this long non-coding RNA (211 nucleotides) under Elaeis guineensis (African oil palm). RNAcentral describes it as "long non-coding RNA (EGUI_LNC000161)". Lineage: Eukaryota; Viridiplantae; Streptophyta; Magnoliopsida; Arecales; Arecaceae. The record is from RNAcentral.
AAGAUUAUCAAUGCGAAUUUGAAAAAUUCGCAUAUCAAGCCGGCCACUUGCCUGAUUGACAUCUCCAAGGAGCAUUCUUAAGUGGUCUGCAUGAUGGCCUUCAAACAUUGGUGCGAGCCUUUCAUCCUAUUACCUUAAUAGAUGCCAUGAAGCUUGCUAGAUACUUAGAGUGGGAGGGUUCGUUUUUAAAACCUCCACGUUCUACUCUCCC